RNAcentral lists this unclassified non-coding RNA (354 nucleotides) under soil metagenome. Its description in RNAcentral is "partial contains 5.8S ribosomal RNA, internal transcribed spacer 2, and large subunit ribosomal RNA". The stretch from base 1 to 120 matches the Rfam family "5.8S ribosomal RNA", at positions 35 to 154 of the family's 154-position model. The record is from RNAcentral.
GAUGAAGAACGCAGCGAAAUGCGAUAGGUAAUGUGAAUUGCAGAAUUCCGUGAAUCAUCGAAUCUUUGAACGCACAUUGCGCCCCCUGGCAUUCCGGGGGGCAUGCCUGUCCGAGCGUCAUUUCUGCCCUCCAGCCCGGCUGGGUGUUGGGCGCUGUCCCCCCGGGGACACGCCCCAAAGGCAGUGGCGGCGCCGCGUCGGGUCCUCGAGCGUAUGGGGCUUUGUCACCCGCUCGGGACGGACUCGUCGGCGCUGGUCUUCCUCCAGGCGACCCUUCGGGGCUCGUCUUCCUUCGGUUGACCUCGGAUCAGGUAGGGUUACCCGCUGAACUUAAGCAUAUCAAUAAGCGGAGGA